Molecule: ribosomal RNA, 253 nt
Filed under: uncultured bacterium
Lineage: Bacteria
Description: partial 16S ribosomal RNA
Rfam family: Bacterial small subunit ribosomal RNA
Source: RNAcentral
UACAGAGGUCUCAAGCGUUGUUCGGAAUUACUGGGCGUAAAGCGCACGUAGGCGGCUUUGUAAGUUAGAGGUGAAAGCCUGGAGCUCAACUCCAGAAUUGCCUUUAAGACUGCAUCGCUUGAACGUCGGAGAGGUGAGUGGAAUUCCGAGUGUAGAGGUGAAAUUCGUAGAUAUUCGGAAGAACACCAGUGGCGAAGGCGGCUCACUGGACGACUGUUGACGCUGAGGUGCGAAAGCGUGGGGAGCAAACAGG